GAGGCCACUGCCAUCAGCGUUCGAUUAAGCCAUGUUAGUCAAGGGGGGUCAUUCUGAUGGUUCGCCAUCGGGUGACCAAACCGGCGGACGGCUCAGUAACACGUGGACAACUUACCCUUGGGUCCGGGAUAACCCCGGGAAACUGGGGCUAAUACCGGAUGGGACAUCAUUUGCUGGAAUGCAGGAUGUCCAAAAGCUGAGGCGCCCAAGGAUAGGUCUGCGGCCGAUUAGGUUGUUGUUGAUGUAACGGAUCAACAAGCCUACGAUCGGUACGGGUUGUGAGAGCAAUAGCCCGGAGAUGGGUUCUGAGAAAAGAACCCAGGUCCUACGGGACGCAUCAGGCGCGAAAACUUUACAAUGUGCGAAAGCACGAUAAGGGAACUCUGAGUGCCUCCUAAGGAGGCUGUUCAGGUGUCUAAAAAGCACCUGGAGUAAGGGCUGGGUAAGACCGGUGCCAGCCGCCGCGGUAACACCGGCAGCCCAGGUGGUAGCCACUUUUAUUGGGUCUAAAGCGUCCGUAGCCGGUUGAGUAAGUUCCUUGGGAAAUUUGGCUGCUCAACAGUCAAGCUUCCAGGGAAUACUGCUCGACUUGGGACUGGGAGAGGUCAGAGGUACUCCAGGGGUAGGGGUGAAAUCCAUUAAUCCCUGGGGGACCACCGGUAGCGAAGGCGUCUGACCAGACCAGGUCCGACGGUGAGUGACGAAGGCUAGGGUCGCGAACCGGAUUAGAUACCCGGGUAGUCCUAGCAGUAAACGAUGCGGGCUAGGUGUUGGCACUACUGCGAGUGGUGCCAGUGCCGAAGGGAAGCCGUUAAGCCCGCCAUCUGGGGAGUACGGUCGCAAGGCUGAAACUUAAAGGAAUUGGCGGGGGAGCAC
Molecule: ribosomal RNA, 876 nt
Filed under: uncultured archaeon
Lineage: Archaea
Description: bacterial SSU rRNA
Rfam family: Archaeal small subunit ribosomal RNA
Source: RNAcentral